UAAACGGCAACCUUGACAGAGAAACAAUAUGACAUUUCGUAAAAUUUUAAUAAAAUUAAUUUAUAUUUAGAUAACUACAAGAUUAUAAAAUAAGCUUUAAAUUUCGUUUCUUUGUUCUUUCAGAGCAACACAUUGAAGUUUUUAUUUUAACAAUACAACAUAUAUAACUAACUAAAUAAUAUAACUAUAUAAGAAGCUUAUUAAUCUUAUAAAUAUAUAAGAUUGAUAAAUGGUUAUGAAAUUUAAAUGUUUUUAUAAUUUUGAGCACAAUAAACAAUUAUGGCUAUCUUC
Molecule: long non-coding RNA, 291 nt
Organism: Bombyx mori (domestic silkworm)
Lineage: Eukaryota; Metazoa; Arthropoda; Insecta; Lepidoptera; Bombycidae
Exons: 2
Source: RefSeq, a predicted model, not a curated record